Rhinichthys klamathensis goyatoka is the source of this 422-nucleotide non-coding RNA. The record is from the annotation of a RefSeq genome assembly. NCBI's taxonomy places the organism in Eukaryota, Metazoa, Chordata, Actinopteri, Cypriniformes, Leuciscidae.
CCUGUAAGAACUUGAUAAUGAUGAGAAAUCCAGUUCUAUUCUCAUAUUUGCUCUGUUGGCAUUUUGCAGGCCAUUGGUUCAGCAGUGUUGACCAAAAGCCUGCUGCGGUCAUUGUGAGUCCUGGAGCGUCCUGCACUCUCUCCUGUUCCCACAGUAUCUCCAACUACAACACCAUACUGUGGUACUACCAGCGUGGGCAAAACAUGCACAUUAUUGGAUAUUCCUUUCAUUCGACCCCCAAUCUGGAGAACGCAGCAGAUAAAAAAUAUGAUCUGAAAGGAGAUGCCAAGAGUUCUGUGACCCUGACAAUCUCAGAGCUCACGCUGAAUGAAAGCGCAGUCUAUUUCUGUGCAGCAAGUGCACACAGUGCUCUAGGGCCCCCAUGAGCCCUACGAAAAGCCUAUCAUCUUUUGUGCAUCUUU